RNAcentral lists this ribosomal RNA (245 nucleotides) under uncultured bacterium. RNAcentral describes it as "partial 16S ribosomal RNA". It matches the Rfam family "Bacterial small subunit ribosomal RNA", at positions 35 to 263 of the family's 1533-position model. The record is from RNAcentral.
GCUGGCGGCGUGCCUAACACAUGCAAGUCGAACGAGAAGGCAGAACCAAAUGCUUCGGUGUGCGGUUUUGCUGGGGAGUGGCGAACGGGUGAGUAACACGUGGGUGACCUGCCUCGAAGAGGGGGAUAACCAUUGGAAACGGUGGCUAAUACCGCAUGGUCCUGUUGGUAUGGGAAUAUUGACAGGUAAAGCUCCGGCGCUUCGAGAGGGGCCUGCGUCCGAUUAGUUAGUUGGUGAGGUAACGG